UUAAAUUAUCAUCAAAAUAAUAAACAGUGGAGUAAAAACGAUAAUUAAUAUGAAUUUAACUUAAUAUGAUUGUGAAGUUAAAUACCAUUUAAACAAAUUUUAAAAAACUUCUCGUCAAAAUAAUGAUUCUCGAUCAUCUCCUUUCUCAAAGAUUUUGAAAUUCCCAAAUACCUUUCCUCAAACAGAUUUAUACACCAAU
RNAcentral lists this long non-coding RNA (199 nucleotides) under Ananas comosus (pineapple). RNAcentral's name for it is "long non-coding RNA (ACOM_LNC029208)". The record is from RNAcentral. Lineage: Eukaryota; Viridiplantae; Streptophyta; Magnoliopsida; Poales; Bromeliaceae.